CCAAAGGUCGUAGGUUCGAAUCCCACUGUGGCCGGGCAUAUUUUUCAAGCUCGCCCGGUGUGGAUAUGCACUCAGAGUAACAUCACAAACAUAUUAUUCACCUGAGUACACAACACCAGCACAGAAAAAAAUUCAUAUUACAAGAACACAUUGGUAUUGAAGGAACUAGAUACUGUUCCGAAAUAUCACUUACUCGAACCGUCCUGACCGCGUAGCUCAGUUGGAAGAGCAUUGGGCUAGUAUUCCAAAGGUCGUAGGUUCGAAUCCCACCGUGACCUGGCAUAUUUUUCAAGCUCGCCCGGUGUGGAUAUGCACUCAGAGUAACAUCGCAAACAUAUUAAAUUCACCUGAGUACACAACACCAAC
Molecule: non-coding RNA, 366 nt
Organism: Paramuricea clavata
Lineage: Eukaryota; Metazoa; Cnidaria; Anthozoa; Malacalcyonacea; Plexauridae
Source: the annotation of a GenBank genome assembly